CUAGUUGGUAAGGUAACGGCUUACCAAGGCGACGAUCAGUAGCCGACCUGAGAGGGGGAUCGGCCACAUUGGAACUGAGACACGGUCCAAACUCCGACGGGAGGCAGCAGUGGGGAAUAUUGCACAAGGGGCGAAAGCCUGAUGCAGCAACGCCGCGUGAGUGAUGAAGGCCUUCGGGUCGUAAAACUCUGUCCUCAAGGAAGAUAAUGACGGUACUUGAGGA
This 223-nucleotide ribosomal RNA is filed under the name Clostridioides difficile. RNAcentral describes it as "partial 16S ribosomal RNA". It matches the Rfam family "Bacterial small subunit ribosomal RNA", at positions 245 to 485 of the family's 1533-position model. The record is from RNAcentral. Lineage: Bacteria; Bacillati; Bacillota; Clostridia; Peptostreptococcales; Peptostreptococcaceae.